RNAcentral lists this ribosomal RNA (473 nucleotides) under uncultured bacterium. RNAcentral's name for it is "bacterial SSU rRNA". It matches the Rfam family "Bacterial small subunit ribosomal RNA", at positions 28 to 507 of the family's 1533-position model. The record is from RNAcentral.
GAUGAACGCUGGCGGCGUGCUUAACACAUGCAAGUCGAACGAAGCAUUUUGAAAAGCUUGCUUUUUGAAAUGACUGAGUGGCGGACGGGUGAGUAACGCGUGGGUAACCUGCCUUAUACAGGGGGAUAACAGUUAGAAAUGACUGCUAAUACCGCAUAAGCGCACAGUACUGCAUGGUACAGUGUGAAAAACUCCGGUGGUAUAAGAUGGACCCGCGUCUGAUUAGCUAGUUGGUGAGGUAACGGCUCACCAAGGCGACGAUCGGUAGCCGGACUGAGAGGUUGACCGGCCACAUUGGGACUGAGAUACGGCCCAGACUCCUACGGGAGGCAGCAGUGGGGAAUAUUGGGCAAUGGGCGAAAAGCCUGACCCAGCAACGCCGCGUGAAGGAUGAAGGUCUUCGGAUUGUAAACUUUAGUCGUCGGGGACGAGAACGGACGGUACCCGAGGUGAAGGCCACGUCUAACUACGUG